Magnolia sinica is the source of this 4175-nucleotide RNA transcript. RefSeq lists it as uncharacterized. Lineage: Eukaryota; Viridiplantae; Streptophyta; Magnoliopsida; Magnoliales; Magnoliaceae. The record is from RefSeq and is a predicted model, not a curated record. The transcript is spliced from 5 exons.
UCUAUUACAUGGUUAGAUUUAGUUCGAAUUUCACUUGAGGACAUAAUUCAACCGAUCUCAGCUGUUAUCUUUAUAUUCUAUAAGGUGAGAAACAUGGUGGUAUAAAUGGUUUAAUAGAAAUCCUUCUCAUUUAUUUACUGUGAAUGGGCACUCCUACUUUUAAGGGGAGGAUUGUGACUUAGCCAGAGAAGAACAUGCAUUAGAUCCAACUCAUUCAUUAAAUGAACGGCUACAUUCUCCUCCAAAUAUUAAAAUUCAGACUACCCUAUCAUUGUGUGGUCCCGUCGUGAUGUAAGUUUUUUAAAACUUAUAAAAUCCAUCAGCGUUGGUGCACAUUUGGACCUGGAAUGGACAGUGCAAAGGAAGAAGAGAGGGAAAUGGCUAUUGUCAUGCAAGCAAUGGUAGCUUGUGUAUCAGCUGUAGGGGAAUACUGUCACGUAUAUAUGUUCAGACAGCUGGCGCGACACGAAGAUGAUGAGCGGGCGAGGUUCAUCAACUCUAUAAUUUGGGCGACAGAAGUGGAUUGUAUAGCUCAACUCGGGAUGAGUCGAGAUGCUUUCUUUGAGUUGUGUACUACACUUUGUGAGAAGAUACAUUUGCUUGACACCCGUCAUGUCAGUCUUGAAGAACAGGUGGUUAUGUUCCUUCAUACAGUUGGCCAUAAUGUUCACAAUAGGGUCAUAGGGCACAGAUUUAUUCAAUCCGGGGAAACCAUUAGCCUUCACUUUAACCGUGUUUUGGAUUCCAUUGUAUCAUUAUACCCAGAGUUUGUUAAACAGCUAAGCUCAAAGACACCACCCGAGAUUCAGACGAAUAUCAGUUGGGCUCCAUACUUUCAGGACUGUGUUGGUGCAAUUGACGGGACACAUAUACCGGCUCUGGUCCAGUCUGCAGAUCAUGUGAGCUUCCGCAAUCGAAAAGGAUUCCUCUCACAAAAUGUACUCGUGGCAUAUUCAUUUGACAUGAAUUUCCUUUACAUAUUAGCUGGUUGGGAGGGUUCAGUCUCGAAUGCGCGGGUGCUACACAAUGCUCUGACCCAAUCAGAUGAUCCAUUACAUGUCCCGCAUGGUACUGGUUACAUCUCUCCUAGAUUACCCAUCCAUUUCAUAUUCAUAAAAUAUUCGAGUGUCCAUUUGAUAGAACAUUCAUUUAAAUGUGUAGGGAAAUACUAUGUUGUCGACACUGGAUAUGCGCAUUCACCCGGUUUUAUGGCUCCAUACCGCAGCAUGUGCCACCACUUACAAGAGUAUCGAACCGUGAGAGCACCUGCGAAUAUGAAUGAGUUGUUUAAUUAGCGACAUACACAAUUACGUAAUGCAAUCGAGCGUUGUUUUGGUGUACUGAAAAAUAGAUUUCCCAUAUUGAAGACAACCAUUCCGUAUGAGUUUCACACACAAGUGAAAAUUGUUUUAGCGUAUUGCGUUCUACACAAUUUCAUACGAUUCGUACUUCAGUCUCGUGACGAUGGAUCUUUUCCUAUAGAGGAGAGUAACCCAAUACCUCAUGAGGUGUUAACAAAUGACGAAAGGCAAUGGUUGCUACGCGUCACUCAACAAGAAAAGGAUGCUUGAAAUCAUGUGCGGGAUGAUAUUGCUGCUCGAAUGUGGGCAGAUGCGCAACAGAGCAGUGACAUGGCAGACCCAAGGUCUAAUGAUAGUUCAACACCGACACAAUCACCGCUUAGGACACCUGUGAUGCUGACGCGAAGUUCACCACGUGGGAAGACAGUCAAAUCCCUCGCUGAGCCUCUAUCUCAAGCGGUUAAAAUUAAAUGGAGUGCUGAAAUAGAUCAAGUGCUCUUCAACGUCCUGCUAGAACAGGUCGCUUUGGGACGUAAGGUAGAUAAUGGUUUUAAGAAUGAAGCCUACCAAGUAAUAGCAGAAGAGGUCAUGAAGCAUACGGACCUACCUGUCAACUGGCAGAAUGUGCAGAACCGUCUGAGGUAUUACAAGCGUGAAUAUAUUGCGAUCAGGGACAUGCUAGCAGCUAGUGGGUUCGGAUGGGAUAAUGAGCGCAUGGUCAUUACGGCCCCUGAUGAGGUUUGGGAGGAUUACCUGAAGUCUCACCCGCGUGCUACACAUCUAUGCGGGAAAAGGAUUGAAAGAAUGGAUGACCUUGCAGUCAUCGUCGGCUCCGAUCAAGCAACUGGACGAUAUGCGUAAGGAAGUAUGACUAUGGUCACGUCAUCCACUAGAAUUCAGCGAGAUCUCAAUGAGUCCUGGAGAGAUGCUGAAGAUGAUCUGAAGAAUACCAUUAACCUCUCUGAGGGCCACGUAGCGGACUCGCCAGGCGAAAAUUUUUCCUCAGAUAGUCCAUCGAUGGGAAGACGCGGAACCCGUGGCACUUCUAGUCGGACUCCAGAGUCUGACUGUAAUUGAGAUGGGGGUGCAUCAAAGAAACGUAUGCGGCCUCCUCAUCCCUACGAUGUACUCGGCAUCUCCCUUAAUACCGUUGCAAAGGCAAUGCACGAUUUGGCCUCGACAAGGAGGUAAAUCAUACUACAAAGGUACUUGAUGUUCUUGAGGAGGUGCAAGGGUUGACCAACUCAGAAUUUAUCGAAAUUGGGCAACUGUUGAGCCGGGAUGAGAAGCUGGGAUCGUUUUUUGUCAGUUUUCGACCCGAGAGGCGCGUUGAGUGGCUGCAGAGAACACUCCGCGAGAAUGAUCUCAAUGAUGGAGUUGGGUCGGUCUGACAUGCUCUUACCCGUCGUUGUGUUGAUCUGUUGUUUUAUGAGAUUGUAAUAACUUUUUAUACGCUAGGGAUUGUUUGUUUGAUGUUUGUUUUUUUUUUUUUUUUGGAUGUUUGGAUAACCAAAUUGGUAUAUCAUGUAUACCAAUUUGAUAGGUGUCGUAAUACUCUGAUUUUCUGGUUUAAUAUAUUUUAUAUAUGUUCCGCCACAUGCUUGUUCCUCAGCAAAUUAAGAGAGAUAGAGCCACACACAUCGUAUGGACGAAGGAUGGCAAAGGAGAAAUACUAUGUUGUUCUCGUGGGCCAUUGACCUGGCAUUUAUCUGACGUGGGACGAUGCUAGGCUGGAGGUUGAAGGAUUCAGCGGAGGAGACACCAGGCAUUCAAGAAUUGGAGGGAAGUGGUUUCCUGCUGGGAGAGUUACUUCGAGGGGACUGGUGCACAAUUGCGGACUACGACAGAAACUCACGCAGUUUAUGUCGCCGUACAGUUAGACGAGGUCAACAUCCAUCGUUCGUCAACUUCGUCUAUCCAUCAGUCAACCCAUGGCAGGGUUUCCAAGUCCACAACGACUAAUGAUCUUGGCCCAUCCUGUGGAGAGAGUUUCUGUGUACUUCUGAUUGGCAUUCUCGUCAUUUUCUUCGCCUUGCUUAUCAUUAUUAAAUUCUAGCUGUAGAGGUUUUGUAACAUAAUGAAUGUUAUUUUUUGGAUCUCUUUUUUUUUUUUUGGAGGAAAUUUGAUUGUAUGUUUUCCUAGCUUUCUUUAGCUUAGCAUUCUUUACCUUUAUCUUAGAUUGUAUAGUUUUUUUCUUUUAUCUAUCUUUCAUUGCAGAUCUACCUUAAAGUGUAUGGGUUUUUAUAUAUGCAGAUUGUAUAGUUUUCUAACCAUUUUUUGGAGGGAGUAACCCUUACGACAGUAGGGUGGGACCCACAUAAGACCAUUGCAGUGGGAGCAUAUUGGCUACUCCCCCUGACACCAGCCAUUGGCUGGUGGUCGGUGCUCCGUAGGGCCCACCAUGAUGUAUGUGUUUCAUCCAUGAUGUCCAUAUAUUUUUACAUAUCAUUUUAUGAUAUGAUUAAAAAAAACAUGAAGCACAUCUCAAUCUCAGGUGGACCACAUUACAGGAAACAACUAGAAUGAAUUUUGACCAUUAAAAGAGUUUUGGGGGCCAUAUUAGUUUGGAUUUCGGGAUAUUUAUUUUUACCCUUCAUCUGGGUCUUCUUGACCAUAUCAACAGAUUGGAUGUCAAGUAAACAGUACAGUGGGCCUUACGGAGGAUUUUAAUUGUGAAUAUCCCACGGUAUUUUUUGUCCUGUGGUGUAGCCGGCCUAAGAUUUAUAUCUCUAUCAUAUUUUGUAUCAAGUCCUAAUAUGAUAAGUAAAAAUGGUUGAACGGAUGGUAUGAAACACGUACAUCAUGGUGGGACCCACAGAGCACCAACGACCAGCCACAGGGCUGGUGUCAGGGGGAGUAGCCAAUCCGUUCUCA